Molecule: ribosomal RNA, 492 nt
Filed under: uncultured bacterium
Lineage: Bacteria
Description: partial 16S ribosomal RNA
Rfam family: Bacterial small subunit ribosomal RNA
Source: RNAcentral
AGUGAACGCUGGCGGUAGGCCUAACACAUGCAAGUCGAACGGCAGCACAGUAAGAGCUUGCUCUUACGGGUGGCGAGUGGCGGACGGGUGAGGAAUACAUCGGAAUCUACUUUUUCGUGGGGGAUAACGUAGGGAAAAUUACGCUAAUACCGCAUACGACCUACGGGUGAAAGCAGGGGAUCUUCGGAUCUUGCGCGAUUGAAUGAGCCGAUGUCGGAUUAGCUAGUUGGCGGGGUAAAGGCCCACCAAGGCGACGAUCCGUAGCUGGUCUGAGAGGAUGAUCAGCCACACUGGAACUGAGACACGGUCCAGACUCCUACGGGAGGCAGCAGUGGGGAAUAUUGGACAAUGGGCGCAAGCCUGAUCCAGCCAUGCCGCGUGGGUGAAGAAGGCCUUCGGGUUGUAAAGUCCUUUUGUUGGGAAAGAAAAGCAGCAGGUUAAUACCCCGCUGUUCUGACGGUACCCAAAGAAUAAGCACCGGCUAACUUCGUG